CUCUCACCAGCCACGGGCUCUCCUCGUCCAUUUAACAACAAAACACAGCAACACUCGCUGUAUUUGAGGAAAGUGAAGCUUCUGUAGGCCACAACCCGUUCUCCUCAACUCAGAAAGAUGGUCCUCGUGUUGUAGUGGUCAAAGUCCGCCAGCGCCAAUACAAAGCAUCUUUCAGUUUUGCUUUUCCAGCUGGCUGCUGAUUAAACCAAAAUACCACCAGUUCUUGAUGUCCACUGGGAUUUUCCAGCUGUAUGAAGUAUUCCCAUUGGUGAUCCAACAGAAAAUUAUUUUAUCAACCAGAAAACUUUGAACAGGCAGUGUGAGAAAAAAGUAGAAGAUGGGGCCAACCCCUGAGGCCUUCAGGCUGGGAGGACUGAACGGCCUCGUAGCCA
Long non-coding RNA from Oreochromis aureus, 392 nucleotides. The record is from Ensembl. Lineage: Eukaryota; Metazoa; Chordata; Actinopteri; Cichliformes; Cichlidae.